Molecule: transfer RNA, 68 nt
Filed under: Apaloderma vittatum (bar-tailed trogon)
Lineage: Eukaryota; Metazoa; Chordata; Aves; Trogoniformes; Trogonidae
Rfam family: tRNA
About the family: Transfer RNA (tRNA) molecules are approximately 80 nucleotides in length. Their secondary structure includes four short double-helical elements and three loops (D, anti-codon, and T loops).
Source: Rfam by way of RNAcentral
GGCCAUUUAGCUCAGUGGGUUGAGCGCGGUGCUGAGAACACCGAGGUCGCGGGCUCGAUUCCCAUCCA